This 1025-nucleotide ribosomal RNA is filed under the name Lophiostoma clematidis-vitalbae. RNAcentral describes it as "SSU rRNA". It matches the Rfam family "Eukaryotic small subunit ribosomal RNA", at positions 85 to 1120 of the family's 1831-position model. The record is from RNAcentral. Lineage: Eukaryota; Fungi; Ascomycota; Dothideomycetes; Pleosporales; Lophiostomataceae.
AACUGCGAAUGGCUCAUUAAAUCAGUUAUCGUUUAUUUGAUAGUACCUUACUACUUGGAUAACCGUGGUAAUUCUAGAGCUAAUACAUGCUGAAAACCCUGACUUCGGAAAGGGUGUAUUUAUUAGAUAAAAAACCAAUGCCCUUUGGGCUCUUUGGUGAUUCAUGAUAACUUAACGGAUCGCAUGGCCUUGCGCCGGCGACGGUUCAUUCAAAUUUCUGCCCUAUCAACUUUCGAUGGUAAGGUAUUGGCUUACCAUGGUUUCAACGGGUAACGGGGAAUUAGGGUUCGAUUCCGGAGAGGGAGCCUGAGAAACGGCUACCACAUCCAAGGAAGGCAGCAGGCGCGCAAAUUACCCAAUCCCGACACGGGGAGGUAGUGACAAUAAAUACUGAUACAGGGCUCUUUUGGGUCUUGUAAUCGGAAUGAGUACAAUUUAAACCUCUUAACGAGGAACAAUUGGAGGGCAAGUCUGGUGCCAGCAGCCGCGGUAAUUCCAGCUCCAAUAGCGUAUAUUAAAGUUGUUGCAGUUAAAAAGCUCGUAGUUGAAUCUUGGGCCUGGCUGGCCGGUCCGCCUCACCGCGUGUACUGGUCUGGCCGGGCCUUUCCUUCUGGAGAACCUCAUGCCCUUCAGUGGGUGUGUUGGGGAACCAGGACUUUUACUUUGAAAAAAUUAGAGUGUUCAAAGCAGGCCUUUGCUCGAAUACGUUAGCAUGGAAUAAUAGAAUAGGACGUGCGGUCCUAUUUUGUUGGUUUCUAGGACCGCCGUAAUGAUUAAUAGGGAUAGUCGGGGGCAUCAGUAUUCAAUUGUCAGAGGUGAAAUUCUUGGAUUUAUUGAAGACUAACUACUGCGAAAGCAUUUGCCAAGGAUGUUUUCAUUAAUCAGUGAACGAAAGUUAGGGGAUCGAAGACGAUCAGAUACCGUCGUAGUCUUAACCGUAAACUAUGCCGACUAGGGAUCGGGCGAUGUUUCUAUCUUGACUCGCUCGGCACCUUACGAGAAAUCAAAGUUUUGGGUUCUGGGGG